AACGAACGCUGGCGGCAUGCCUAACACAUGCAAGUCGAACGAAGCCUUCGGGCUUAGUGGCGCACGGGUGCGUAACGCGUGGGAAUCUGCCCUUGGGUUCGGAAUAACAGUUAGAAAUGACUGCUAAUACCGAAUGAUGUCUUCGGACCAAAGAUUUAUCGCCCAAGGAUGAGCCCGCGUCGGAUUAGCUAGUUGGUGAGGUAAAGGCUCACCAAGGCGACGAUCCGUAGCUGGUCUGAGAGGAUGAUCAGCCACACUGGGACUGAGACACGGCCCAGACUCCUACGGGAGGCAGCAGUGGGGAAUAUUGGACAAUGGCGGAAAGACCGUCGAUCCAGCAAUAGCCGCCGUGAGUGAUGAAGG
Molecule: ribosomal RNA, 363 nt
Filed under: uncultured bacterium
Lineage: Bacteria
Description: bacterial SSU rRNA
Rfam family: Bacterial small subunit ribosomal RNA
Source: RNAcentral